GAUUGAACGCUGGCGGCAUGCCUUACACAUGCAAGUCGAACGGCAGCACGGGAGCAAUCCUGGUGGCGAGUGGCGAACGGGUGAGUAAUAUAUCGGAACGUGCCCAGUCGUGGGGGAUAACGUAGCGAAAGCUACGCUAAUACCGCAUACGAUCUACGGAUGAAAGCGGGGGAUCGCAAGACCUCGCGCGAUUGGAGCGGCCGAUAUCAGAUUAGCUAGUUGGUGGGGUAAAAGCUCACCAAGGCGACGAUCUGUAGCUGGUCUGAGAGGACGACCAGCCACACUGGAACUGAGACACGGUCCAGACUCCUACGGGAGGCAGCAGUGGGGAAUUUUGGACAAUGGGCGCAAGCCUGAUCCAGCCAUUCCGCGUGAGUGAAGAAGGCCUUCGGGUUGUAAAGCUCUUUCGCAAGGGAAGAAAACUUACCUUCUAAUAAAGGGUGAGGUUGACGGUACCUUGAUAAGAAGCACCGGCUAACUACGUG
RNAcentral lists this ribosomal RNA (485 nucleotides) under uncultured bacterium. RNAcentral's name for it is "bacterial SSU rRNA". It matches the Rfam family "Bacterial small subunit ribosomal RNA", at positions 27 to 507 of the family's 1533-position model. The record is from RNAcentral.